Molecule: long non-coding RNA, 4144 nt
Organism: Leucoraja erinaceus (little skate)
Lineage: Eukaryota; Metazoa; Chordata; Chondrichthyes; Rajiformes; Rajidae
Exons: 3
Source: RefSeq, a predicted model, not a curated record
CAAGUGAAAUAAUGUCUUAAUACAGGGUACAGUUAUUGGUAGAUGUGGUAAUAUAGUGGUUAAGUUACUGGAUGAGUGCCAGAAUUCAGGAUAUUGAUCUGGAGAAAGUAGUUCAAAUUCCACCAUGGCAGCUGAGGAAUUUAAAUUCAAGUAAGUGAAUAAAAUUUGCAAUGUUCAUUUAAGAAAUGCAAUUUCAUAAAUGAAAUCUAUUAAACUAUUGAGCUGUUAUAAAAACUCAUCUGGUUCUACCAGAGAAGGAACCCUGCCAUACAAUGGCACAGUUGGUAGAGCAGUGGCCUCAACACGAGAGACCUGGGUUCAAUCCUGACUUAAGUUGCUCUUGGCGUGGAGUUCGCAUGUUCUCCCUGGGUCUACAUGGGUUUCCUCUUGGUGUUUUGGUUUCCCCCCACAUCCCAAAGACGGCGGGUUUGUGGGUUAAUUGGCGUCUAUAAAUGCCCAUGAUGAGUGGAGAAUUGAUGAGAAAGUGGGAUAACAUAGAGCUGGUGUGAACGGAUGAUUGAUGGUCAGUAUGGAGUGUGGCCGAAGGGCCUGUUUCCAUGCUGUAUCUCUAAACAAAGCUAAACUAAACCUUGUCUCGUUACUGCUUCCUCGGUUCAAGGGAAAUUAGUGAUGGUCAAUAAGUGCUGACAUUGGCAGUGAUUUCCAUAUCACAAAAUAAAUAAAAAGCAAAUUGCAGUGAUUAUCAAAGUAAAACUACUGAAAAAAAUCCAGUUAUCUAAUUUUAGUAUGGUCUUCUUUUCCAUAUUGGAUGCAUCAUAGGGGGUUAUACACUGCAGAAGUAGACCUUUCAACCCACCAUGUCCACAUAGACCACCAAAUGCACAUUUAUCCUAAUCCCAUUGCAUUUGAUUUGUCAUCUCCCAUGCCAUGGAGAUUGAAGUGGUUUUCCAGAUGCUUCUUAAAAUGCUGUGAGAGUAUAUACCUAAACUAUUCUCUCAAUCAUUGCAUUCCAGAUUCCAACCAUCUCUGGAUGAAAAAAAUCAUCCUCAGAACCAUUCUAAAUGGUUACCUCAUUCCAUCCAAGGACGUAAGAAAUUGCAGAGUGUUGUGGACGUAGCUCGGAGCAUCAAGCUAACCAACCUCCCUUCCGUUGACUCCAUGUGUACUUCAGGUUGCCUCGGCAAGGCCACCAGCAUAAUCAAGGACGAGUCUCACCACGGUCACUUCCUAUUCUCUCCUAUCAGGCAAGAGCUACUGCUCCGAAUGUGAUCUGAAUCCCAUCCUUUAAAGUUAUCAUUGGCUGUGGAAACUCAAGAAACCGUGUCAGGACAAUGUGGGAUCGUAUCUCCGGUUGCUCUGCGGCCUAACAUCGUGGUGCUGGAGGCCUUUCUUUGACUGACUGACUUUGAGCCCCACCACGGAGCGUGGACUUACCAUCAGAGCCAAAUCCUUGACUGGGACGCUCCAACGCUGCGGACUUUAACAUCAAGGAGCUUGCAGUCUCAGGUAAGAGACCGACGUCAGGAAGCUCCAAAACUGCACGACAUCCGACUAGCCCUGACCCGGGGUAGAUCACCUGACGCGGGAGAGCUGAGAUUCCCCCCCGAUGCAGUGGCUUGAUCGCCCUGAUGAGGAAGGCCCGCCGCCAGCUACAGGAGUAAGAUCGUCCCGUCAACGCAAGGUUUGAGGCCCCCGACCGCUGGAGGACAAAGAAGGGAAAGAUUGAACUUUUUUGCCUUCCAUCACAGUGAUGAAUGUGGAGGAGUCACAGUGGAGGAUGCUUAUGUUAAAAUGUAUUUUAUGUGUUCUGUUGUUUUUUAUUGGUAUGACUGUAUGACAAAUCAAAUUCCUCGUAUGUUGCAAAACAUACUUGGCUGAUGAAGUAUAAUUAUUAUGAUUAUGAUUAUGAUAACAAUGCCAGAGACCAUUUGAUCAGAUAGAGUGCCAAUACUUAUAUAAAGUACUACAAAAAUUUAACAUGGGAGAGAAUGUUAUAACAUGGGUAAAAUUAUUAUAUGAUAAACCGAUGGCAAGAAUUUUAACUAAUAACAUGUUAUCUCAAAAAUUUCAACUAUCAUGGGGAAAUAGGCAGAGAUGUGCAUUAUCACCCUUGCUAUUUACCCUUAUGAUAGAACCCCUGGCUGAAAGUAUAAGAAUUCAUCCGAAUAUUCAGGGCUAUAAUACCAGGGACUCAAAGAAUAAAAUCUCAUUAUAUGCAGACGAUAUACUUUUAUAUAUUACAAAGUCACAAACGAGCAUACCAAAUGUAUUAAACUUAAUAGAGAAAUUUGGGUCUUUUUCUGGAUAAAUAAACUGGAAUAAAAGUGAAAUCAUGACAUUAAAACCUCAAGAACCUCAAGAACCUACACACUUAUUGAAGUUCCCCUUUAAAAUCGCAACAGAAAAAUUUAAAUAUUUGGGUAUUCAGAUUACUAGAAAAUAUAAAGCAUUAUUCAACGCUAAUUUCAUACCUUUAUUAAAUAAACUUAAUACGCUGAUUACAUUUUGGAACACACUUCCCUUAUUAUUAGGUAGAAUAAAUUCAAUAAAAAUGAUCUUCCUACCACAAUUACUGUACCUAUUUCAGUCUAUACCGGUAUAUAUACCAAAAUAUUUUUUUUUAAAUUACUCUAAUAUUACUAAUUAUAUUUGGGACUAGAGAUCACAUAGAAUCACAAAAAAACACUUAUGUAAACCAAAAGAGGUCGGGGGACUUUCACUUCCGAAUUUUAUGUAUUAUUACUGGGCAGUGCAUAUUAAGAAUAUGAUUUAUUGGUUGGAUAGUUCUACCCAACAGACAGAAUGGAUAAAAAUGGAGAAAGAGGAUUGCCAUCCUUGUAAUAUAGGAACGAUCCUCUUCUCCCCAAAAAAACUGAAUAACACAAUAUAUAAGAAGAACCCAAUUAUAUAUGGUACAAUAAGAAUUUGGAAACAAAUAAAAUUAUCAUUAAAAUUAAGAAAUCUAUCAUUGUUAAUCCCAGUAACGAAUAACCCUUUAUUUAAACCAUCUCUUAUUGAUAUGAUAUAACCAAUGGGAAAGUCUCGGAAUUAGAAGGAUCGAGGAUAUGUACGAAAUGGGAAACCUACUAUCAUUCCAACAACUACAAUUAAAAUUUAAAUUGAAAAACAACCAAUAUUUUAAAUAUCUUCAGAUUUGCGAUUUCAUGAAAAAAUAUAUACAAGGAUAUCAAAAAAUAACCUCUGAAGUAUUGGAAGAAGCAAUGAAUAUUGAAGCUGACUCACAAAAAUUAAUAUAAUAUUUAUAUAAUAGUAUUCUAAAUAUAGACCUACCAUCGACAGAGGUACUUAGAGAAGAGUGGGAACGGGAACUAAUGAUAAAAAUCUCGAAGGUUACAUGGGAAAAAUACUUGAUAUAUAUUCACAAAUCUUCAAUUAAUGUAAGACAUAAUCCAAAUCAAUUUAAAAUUGUACAUAGAUUAUAUUAUUCAAAAACAAGAUUGAACAAAGUUUAUCCAAAUAUAUUCACCACUUGUGAUAAAUGUCUAGCCCAAAAUGCAACUAUAACACACUCCUUAGUUUCCUGCAUAAAACUUUAUAGAUUUUGGAAUGAUAUUUUUGAAAUAUUUACAAAAUUAUUCAAGACAAGAAUGGAACCUAAUACUGAAAUGAUUAUAUUUGGCGUAAUGGAAGAUGGGAAUAAAUUGAACACAUCUCAAAAUCUAUUCUUUAACUAUGGUUUAAUAAUAGCAAAAAAAUGAAUACUUAAAUUUUGGAAGGGUACAUCAAUACCAACGCUUAAAAUGUGGAUUGCAAGUAUGUUGGACACCGCUCAUCUUGAGGAAACGCGAUUCCUCCUAAUGGAUAAAUCAGACCAAUUCAUAACGAGUUGGUCUCCAUUCGUCGUUUUUUUGGAAUCAUAUGGUGCAACACAAUUGUAAAAAAUAACUGUUUCAGGACUGGACGAGGGUUGGUCAAGAUUAUAAAUAAUGAUCUCUUUUUUUUCUUUUUUUUUUAAUUUUAUUUUAUUUUUUCUAUUUUCUCUUUCUCAACUUUCUUCAUUUACUCGUUUUCUUUCUUCACACACUAUAUAUUUCACAUCUUUCUAUCCUUUACUAUCUAACUUAUUUUUCUUAUUCUAAUCUUUUUUCAAUGUAACAAAAAAAAAAAGUUGUACAUAAAAUGUAUUAUGAAAAUAUAUAUUAGGCACUUCGGUGCCAUAUGA